GACGAACGCUGGCGGCGUGCCUAAUACAUGCAAGUUGAGCGCUGAAGGUUGGUACUUGUACCGACUGGAUGAGCAGCGAACGGGUGAGUAACGCGUGGGGAAUCUGCCUUUGAGCGGGGGACAACAUUUGGAAACGAAUGCUAAUACCGCAUAAAAACUUUAAACACAAGUUUUAAGUUUGAAAGAUGCAAUUGCAUCACUCAAAGAUGAUCCCGCGUUGUAUUAGCUAGUUGGUGAGGUAAAGGCUCACCAAGGCGAUGAUACAUAGCCGACCUGAGAGGGGGGUCGGCCACAUUGGGACUGGGACACGGCCCAAACUCCUACGGGAGGCAGCAGUAGGGAAUCUUCGGCAAUGGACGAAAGGCUGACCGAGCAACGCCGCGUGAGUGAAGAAGGGUUUCGGAUCGUAAAACUCUGUUGGUAGAGAAGAACGUUGGUGAGAGUGGAAAGCUCAUCAAGUGACGGUAACUACCCAGAAAGGGACGGCUAACUACGUG
This 497-nucleotide ribosomal RNA is filed under the name uncultured bacterium. RNAcentral's name for it is "partial 16S ribosomal RNA". It matches the Rfam family "Bacterial small subunit ribosomal RNA", at positions 28 to 507 of the family's 1533-position model. The record is from RNAcentral.